RNA transcript from Capsicum annuum, 487 nucleotides. RefSeq lists it as uncharacterized. Lineage: Eukaryota; Viridiplantae; Streptophyta; Magnoliopsida; Solanales; Solanaceae. The record is from RefSeq and is a predicted model, not a curated record. The transcript is spliced from 2 exons.
GUGUGUGAAAAAAUAAAAUACUAGAUUUCUUAGCUAUAAAUACUCCCUAAGACAACAUAUAAAUCCUCCAAACAGAAUAUAAAAACAAAGAAGCAUGGCUAGUAGUAAAGUUGGUGUCCUUACUCUCCUCCUCCUAUGUGUAUUGCUAGUGGGAAGCAAUUAUGUGGAAUCUGCAGACGCUAAGAUUUGUCCUCAAUUUUGUGAACCAAAUAUUGGUUACAUGACUUGUCCAUCCACAGGACACAAGAAACUUUAUCCAAAAUGUAUCAAUUGUUGCAAAGCAGGAAAGGGCUGCAAACUUUACCGUAAAAAUGGGUCUUUAAGAUGUACUGGAACCUAAAUAAUCACCUUUGACACUUCUCAAAGGGGUUAUAACAUUAAAAUUUCCAAUAGAUUAUGGUCAUAUAUGUAAAAUAAAUUCUGAGUUUAUACUUUACUCAGAUGAACCAUAUAGUAUAUAAUAAUGAAUUUUCUAAUGUUUGUCUAA